Molecule: ribosomal RNA, 253 nt
Filed under: uncultured bacterium
Lineage: Bacteria
Description: partial 16S ribosomal RNA
Rfam family: Bacterial small subunit ribosomal RNA
Source: RNAcentral
UACGUAGGGUGCAAGCGUUGUCCGGAAUUAUUGGGCGUAAAGAGCUCGUAGGCGGUUUGUCGCGUCUGCUGUGAAAACUCGGGGCUUAACUCCGGGCUUGCAGUGGGUACGGGCAGACUAGAGUGCGGUAGGGGAGACUGGAAUUCCUGGUGUAGCGGUGAAAUGCGCAGAUAUCUGGAGGAACACCGGUGGCGAAGGCGGCAUCCUGGACCGGUAUUGACGCUGAUGCGCGAAAGCCAGGGGAGCAAACGGG